UACGUAGGGUGCGAGCGUUGUCCGGAAUUAUUGGGCGUAAAGGGCUCGUAGGCGGUUUGUCACGUCGGGAGUGAAAACUCGGGGCUUAACCCCGAGCCUGCUUCCGAUACGGGCAGACUAGAGGUAUGCAGGGGAGAACGGAAUUCCUGGUGUAGCGGUGAAAUGCGCAGAUAUCAGGAAGAACACCCGUGGCGAAAGCGGCUCUCUGGAACGGUACUGACGCUGAGACGCGAAAGCGUGGGGAGCGAACAGG
This 253-nucleotide ribosomal RNA is filed under the name uncultured bacterium. RNAcentral's name for it is "partial 16S ribosomal RNA". It matches the Rfam family "Bacterial small subunit ribosomal RNA", at positions 524 to 776 of the family's 1533-position model. The record is from RNAcentral.